GUCAGGCACAGUGGCGCAUGCCUGUAAUCCUGUCUACUUGGGAGGCUGAGGCAGGAGGAACAUAAGUUCCAGGACAGCCUGGGUAACUUAGCAAGAACUUGUCUCAA
Molecule: small RNA, 107 nt
Filed under: Marmota monax (woodchuck)
Lineage: Eukaryota; Metazoa; Chordata; Mammalia; Rodentia; Sciuridae
Source: RNAcentral